This is a non-coding RNA of Phascolarctos cinereus (koala), 2033 nucleotides long. The record is from RefSeq and is a predicted model, not a curated record. Lineage: Eukaryota; Metazoa; Chordata; Mammalia; Diprotodontia; Phascolarctidae.
UUCCUUCUAAACUGGAAUAACUCUCCUUUAGUUUGGCAGGUGAAAUAAACGCUUUGUUUGCCCCCUGAAAAGACGUGUCUUUGGUAAUUAAAGAGAAUCUCCUUCUUGGUAUUUAUCUAAGCGAUUGUGCAAACUGAUAAAAAGUAGGCUAUAGCCUUCAGGGAAAAAGAGGAAAGGUGAAAGAAAAGAUCUUCAACCUCAGGGAAGUGCUUUCCAUGUAUUAUUAGCUUUCAGCCUUGGAAAAUACUGAACACUAACUUUACACCGACAAGGUUUCAGGGAGCUUUGUACAUAGCUGCUGAGGAAUGCACGCCUCGCCUUUAAGAAAAAUCCCCCAAACCUAAGGCAUGUAAGAGAGAUGGUUUGAUUUUUCUGAAAUGGUUCACCCAUCCACAGCUGGAAUUCCAAAGUGAAAUGAAAAUGCCUUUAAAAUCAACACUACACGGGAGCCUGAGAGAACAAGUUUUCCUUUGUUGUAGGAUGAGAAAACUGAAGAGAAGUUAAGUGGCUGGCUCAAGGUCACACAGCUAGGAAAUAUUGGAUUGAAACCCAAGUCUUUUCUUACUCCAGAUCCAACCCUGCUACAUGCUGCCCACAAAUUUAACCACUUCAGGACCUCUUUGAAAUCAUCUGAUUUGAACUAACUAUAGACCCAGUCCUCAUCUACUGCACCAGCCAGCUGGCCUUCUGUUGUACCCCAAAUGCUUAGCACAGUGCCUAUCAUACAAAAAAAGGAAGUCAAAGAAAACCAGAUUGGAAUAUUGCCCAACUGUCAAUUGGAUGGAAUACCUGAGCUUGUCGUGUAAUCAAACUGGGAAUAAUGUAAAACAAAGAAUGUGAAUCAUUUCCGAGUUAAAAUCAGGACCUAAAGUGGAACAUAGGUAGACAAAAUUAACUCAUCUGGAACAUAGGCUUUAUAAACAGCAACAACAACAAAAUGUGACAGUGCUUGAAGAUUUAAUUUGAAAAAGACUACUAGAAUUGGACUUCAAAGUUAAGCUUCACUUUCUUCUUCACUUCUUAAGCCUUCAGAUCAAUCAACAUUCAUAUAUAAGUACAGCACCUUCUUUGAUGAGGGCAUGUCAUGCUGGACAAUCCUGUGCAUCUCCCAUGUCACACAAUCAGUUCUAAAGUUCUUCAGAGAAAUCUCAUUGCAAUAAUCAGAACAACAUAAGAUAACAUUAAACUGUGGUCCAAGCAGUUUAGGCCAAAUACAAGAGAGAAGAGUCAAAUGUGGCUUAGUGGAUACAGAGCUGGCCUCAAAGACAGGAAGACCUGGAUUCAAGUCCUGACUCUGACUUAGACUACUAUGUGACCUUGGGUUUUCUGUAGGUGUCUUAAAAAGGUUCCCAAACCAAUUGUUCCUGCUGUGAUUCUGCCCUUCAGACCUCAGGUGUAGGCCUCAUUACAUUACACCUGCUUUGCUUUGUGGUCACAUGUGGGUGGCGUCAUUCCACAUUAUUCCACUUUUCAAAACCCCUGUAUAAUUGACUCACCCAUUCCAGUUUCCUCUGGGACUAGUGCUGUGUGCCUUGUCUACCUCACAAUUGUGGAACACAAAAAUCACAGAACAACAGAGUUAAAUGGGAUAUUAGAGAUCAUCUAUUCUACACCAUACUAAUACAGGAAUCAUUACUACUACAAUGUUCUAGACCAGUAGGCAUCUUGCCUCAAACUGAAGACCUUCAAUGAUGGAGAACCUAGAACUUUAUAAGGCAAACUCUUUCACUUUUAGACAGCUCUAAAUAUUAGAAAAAUUUUCUCUGCAUUGAAUCUAUAGUUGCCUUGCUACAACAUCUGCUCAUUGUUCCUCUUGGGCCAAGAAGAAUAAUUCAGAUUCUCUUUCUAUGUAAUAGAUUUUCAAACAGUUAUCAUAUUACCUCCUGCUUUCAAGUCCUUUUUUCUCUACGUAAAACACUUGUAGUUCUUGUAACUGAUUCAUAUAAAGCAUGGUUUCCAAUUUCUGUACUCUUUUUUUUUUGUUCUGUUCAAGGUCCUGCUUCAUAAUAAAUGGCUCCCAUAAUUGAACACAA